GCCUUCGUGGUGUAGUGGUCAGCACACUCGACACGUAUUUGAGAGGUCCGUGGUUCGAGUCCUGGCGAAGUCA
Molecule: transfer RNA, 73 nt
Filed under: Stegodyphus mimosarum
Lineage: Eukaryota; Metazoa; Arthropoda; Arachnida; Araneae; Eresidae
Rfam family: tRNA
About the family: Transfer RNA (tRNA) molecules are approximately 80 nucleotides in length. Their secondary structure includes four short double-helical elements and three loops (D, anti-codon, and T loops).
Source: Rfam by way of RNAcentral